ACUGCUCAGUAACACGUGGAUAACCUGCCCAAGGGUCUGGGAUAACCCCGAGAAACUGGGGAUAAUACCGGAUGGAUCACUAGUGCUGGAAUGCUUGGUGGUCGAAAGGCAACGCCUUUGGAUGGGUCUGCGGCGGAUUAGGUUGACGCCGGUGUAACGUACCGGCGUGCCUGUAAUCCGUACGGGUUGUGGGAGCAAGAGCCCGGAGAUGGAUUCUGAGACACGAAUCCAGGCCCUACGGGGCGCAGCAGGCGCGAAAACUCUACAAUGCAGGCAACUGCGAUAGGGGGACAUCGAGUGGCAUCCACCUUGGGUGCCUGUCCAACCGUCUAAAAAACGGUUGUUAGCAAGGGCCGGGUAAGACCGGUGCCAGCCGCCGCGGUAAUACCGGCGGCUCGAGUGGUGGCCGAUAUUAUUGAGUCUAAAGGGUCCGUAGCCGGCUUUGCAAGUCCCCUGGGAAAUCCAGCGGCUUAACCGUUGGGCUUUCAUGGGAUACUACAUUGCUUGGGACUGGGAGAGGUAGGAGGUACUCGGGGGGUAGGGGUGAAAUCCUGUAAUCCUCCGGGGACCACCGGUGGCGAAGGCGUCCUACCAGAACAGGUCCGACGGUGAGGGACGAAAGCUAGGGGCACGAACCGGAUUAGAUACCCGGGUAGUCCUAGCCGUAAACGAUGCCCGCUAGGUGUCACGACGGUCGUGAAUCGUCGUGGUGCCGUAGGGAAGCCGCGAAGCGGGCCACUUGGGAAGUACGGCCGCAAGGCUGAAACUUAAAGGAAUUGGCGGGGGAGCAC
RNAcentral lists this ribosomal RNA (791 nucleotides) under uncultured archaeon. RNAcentral's name for it is "bacterial SSU rRNA". It matches the Rfam family "Archaeal small subunit ribosomal RNA", at positions 85 to 879 of the family's 1478-position model. The record is from RNAcentral.